GGUGGCUCAGUGGUAGAGUACUUGCCUGGCAGGCAUGAGGCUCUGGGUUCGAUUCCUUAGCACCA
Molecule: transfer RNA, 65 nt
Filed under: Dipodomys ordii (Ord's kangaroo rat)
Lineage: Eukaryota; Metazoa; Chordata; Mammalia; Rodentia; Heteromyidae
Rfam family: tRNA
About the family: Transfer RNA (tRNA) molecules are approximately 80 nucleotides in length. Their secondary structure includes four short double-helical elements and three loops (D, anti-codon, and T loops). Further hydrogen bonds mediate the characteristic L-shaped molecular structure. tRNAs have two regions of fundamental functional importance: the anti-codon, which is responsible for specific mRNA codon recognition, and the 3' end, to which the tRNAs corresponding amino acid is attached (by aminoacyl-tRNA synthetases). tRNAs cope with the degeneracy of the genetic code in two manners: having more than one tRNA (with a specific anti-codon) for a particular amino acid; and 'wobble' base-pairing, i.e. permitting non-standard base-pairing at the 3rd anti-codon position.
Source: Rfam by way of RNAcentral